Molecule: non-coding RNA, 24 nt
Filed under: Rattus norvegicus (Norway rat)
Lineage: Eukaryota; Metazoa; Chordata; Mammalia; Rodentia; Muridae
Source: RNAcentral
UCCCUGUAAGAGGUACCCAGAUUC